AAGUCAUAACAAGGUUUCCGUAGGUGAACCUGCGGAAGGAUCAUUAUCAAUGCCCCUCGGGGUUUAAAUGUGUGCCAGACUGGACUUGUCCUGUUCUGGCCAUCCACACACACCGUGAACUGUGGCUUCGGCCAUCACAAACUGUUAGUAAUGAAUGUAACAUCAUAACAAAAACAAAACUUUUAACAACGGAUCUCUUGGCUCUC
Molecule: unclassified non-coding RNA, 206 nt
Filed under: air metagenome
Description: partial contains small subunit ribosomal RNA, internal transcribed spacer 1, and 5.8S ribosomal RNA
Rfam family: Eukaryotic small subunit ribosomal RNA (bases 1-46)
Source: RNAcentral